UUAAUAACCUGGAAAAAUUAUCAUUAAUUCCUAAUAUUAUGUAAAAUUCCAGGUUUAUCAGAUGUUCAAGGCCUUGAGAUCGUGAGUGAUCCACAAUCACCAAUUGUUUUCCUUACACUUAAGAAGUCUACAGGAUCCAUAAAGGGCGACCUUCAAGUGCUUCAAGAUAUUUGUGAUCGCGUGUUGAAAGAAGACUCGAUUUUUCUUGCAACUUCAAAAAGAUCAACUAUAGACAAAUGCAAAUUACCGGUGGGACUUAAAUUGUUCGUCUCUGCUGCUCAUACAGAAGAUGAUCUGGUGAAAGCUUGCGAAUCGAUUAAGAGAGUUACGGCAACGCUAUUGCCAGGUCCAUGAUUAUGAGUUAUAGAUGAGGUCUGGUUUCAAAGUUUUUGCUAAGUAAACAAAGAAUCCUGAAAGCUUUUACCAUGUGACGGUGUAUUAGUUUUGAAUUAGUACUUGGAUUGCUCUUCCUCGUGCAGGUUUGGGAUAGAACAAGGAUUUCAAUGACAGUAUUACAAAAGCAAAAGAAGAUUUUCAUUAUAUUAUAUAGUUGUGUAGAGUAUUGCAUACCGAACGCACUAAGUUAAUAUGCAAUAUGCUGUGGUCUGCCGAAUUCUUCUGCAUACACUCUUGUUUUUAAUUUUUCAAUUUCACUUCUAUUUCUCUUGUUA
This is a long non-coding RNA of Olea europaea var. sylvestris, 671 nucleotides long. RefSeq lists it as uncharacterized. The record is from RefSeq and is a predicted model, not a curated record. NCBI's taxonomy places the organism in Eukaryota, Viridiplantae, Streptophyta, Magnoliopsida, Lamiales, Oleaceae. The transcript is spliced from 2 exons.